This 118-nucleotide non-coding RNA is filed under the name Protocruzia adhaerens. The record is from RNAcentral. Lineage: Eukaryota; Ciliophora; Spirotrichea.
UUCUCUCUCUAAGAAAAACAACACCAACCAAAACCCCACGAUCAGAGAAGAAGCAGAAAUGAGAACACUCCCUCACUCCUCUCUUUGUAUCAAGAGCUCCACAAACCUCCAAAAAAAA